RNAcentral lists this ribosomal RNA (403 nucleotides) under Ophiocordyceps sp. RNAcentral's name for it is "SSU rRNA". It matches the Rfam family "Eukaryotic small subunit ribosomal RNA", at positions 806 to 1208 of the family's 1831-position model. Lineage: Eukaryota; Fungi; Ascomycota; Sordariomycetes; Hypocreales; Ophiocordycipitaceae. The record is from RNAcentral.
AGCAUGGAAUAAUGAAAUAGGACGCGCGGUUCUAUUUUGUUGGUUUCUAGGACCGCCGUAAUGAUUAAUAGGGACAGUCGGGGGCAUCAGUAUUCAAUAGUCAGAGGUGAAAUUCUUGGAUCUAUUGAAGACUAACUACUGCGAAAGCAUUUGUCAAGGAUGUUUUCAUUAAUCAGGAACGAAAGUUAGGGGAUCGAAGACGAUCAGAUACCGUCGUAGUCUUAACCAUAAACUAUGCCGACUAGGGAUCGGACGAUGUUAUUUUUUGACUCGUUCGGCACCUUACGAGAAAUCAAAGUGCUUGGGCUCCAGGGGGAGUAUGGUCGCAAGGCUGAAACUUAAAGAAAUUGACGGAAGGGCACCACCAGGGGUGGAGCCUGCGGCUUAAUUUGACUCAACACGG